CUUUAUUUGAACUGGUGACACGAGGAUUUUCAG
RNAcentral lists this transfer RNA (33 nucleotides) under Ruellia repens. Its description in RNAcentral is "partial tRNA-Phe". The record is from RNAcentral. Lineage: Eukaryota; Viridiplantae; Streptophyta; Magnoliopsida; Lamiales; Acanthaceae.